AGGAACUUAGGAUAUAUUUAAACCAGUAGCCUUCAAAGCCACUAAAAAGAGAGAGCCUCUUAGU
This 64-nucleotide transfer RNA is filed under the name Brookesia brygooi. RNAcentral describes it as "partial tRNA-Trp". The record is from RNAcentral. Lineage: Eukaryota; Metazoa; Chordata; Lepidosauria; Squamata; Chamaeleonidae.